CGGGGCAUAGCGCAGUCUGGUAGCGCACCUGCUUUGGGAGCAGGAUGUCGGGGGUUCAAAUCCCUCUGCCCCGACCA
Molecule: transfer RNA, 77 nt
Filed under: Acidiferrobacteraceae bacterium
Lineage: Bacteria; Pseudomonadati; Pseudomonadota; Gammaproteobacteria; Acidiferrobacterales; Acidiferrobacteraceae
Description: tRNA-Pro
Rfam family: tRNA
About the family: Transfer RNA (tRNA) molecules are approximately 80 nucleotides in length. Their secondary structure includes four short double-helical elements and three loops (D, anti-codon, and T loops).
Source: RNAcentral